This 460-nucleotide ribosomal RNA is filed under the name uncultured bacterium. RNAcentral's name for it is "partial 16S ribosomal RNA". It matches the Rfam family "Bacterial small subunit ribosomal RNA", at positions 338 to 795 of the family's 1533-position model. The record is from RNAcentral.
CCUACGGGUGGCAGCAGUGAGGAAUAUUGGUCAAUGGACGAGAGUCUGAACCAGCCAAGUAGCGUGAAGGAUGACUGCCCUAUGGGUUGUAAACUUCUUUUAUAUGGGAAUAAAAUGUUCCACGUGUGGGAUUUUGUAUGUACCAUAUGAAUAAGGAUAGGCUAACUCCGUGCCAGCAGCCGCGGUAAUACGGAGGAUCCGAGCGUUAUCCGGAGUUAUUGGGUUUAAGGGGAGAGUAGGUGGCUUGUUAAGUCAGUUGUGAAAGUUUGCGGCGCAACCGUAAAAUUGCAGUUGAAACUGGCUGUCUUGAGUACAGUAGAGGUGGGCGGAAUUCGUGUUGUAGCGGUGAAAGGCUUAGAUAUCACGAAGAACUCCUAUUGCGAAGGCAGCUCACUGGACUGAAACGGACACUGAGGCUCUAACGUGUGGGUAUCAAACAGGAGUAGAUACCCCUGUAGUC